Molecule: long non-coding RNA, 558 nt
Filed under: Rhinopithecus bieti (black snub-nosed monkey)
Lineage: Eukaryota; Metazoa; Chordata; Mammalia; Primates; Cercopithecidae
Description: lncRNA (ENSRBIG00000045787.1)
Source: RNAcentral
AAUGAAUCCAUGGUGAUGGAUGCCGGGGAGUGGUUACCCUUGGAGUGAUACUGACUGACAGAAGACACAAUACAGCCUGCUGUGGCCUGAGAAAUGCUCUAACUCUUGAUCUAUGUGGCGGUCCGAUGAGUGUGUUCAUAUGUGAAACUCAUCCAGCUUGGCUUUAUGAUCAUACACCCUGCACUGAGUUCCAGCUCACAUCAAAACUGCGGGUUGGAGCCCUCCUGCUCAGGGAAGCCUCAGAAAGGGUCUGCUUGGCCAACGGAAGAUGGAGCUCGGAGAGGCUUUAUGCUCUUGCAGUGAGAUGUAUGUCUUCAAAGUAUCCCUUUAGAAAAACAAAACGUAAAGCACCCCCACCCUGAUCACACAAUGCAUUCUUGUUCCCUUUGAAAUUUUAGGAAAUUUUUUUAAAGCACCAAGAAGAAAAAUAAAUUACAUCUAUAUCUCCACCCAUGAAAAUGGGGUCCCUUCUCAUAGCGCCUUUUUUUUCUUACUUCGUAAGUCUUGACCCUUUCACUACCAUUUAAUAACCUCCAGGCACAUCCAUGUUAUUAGCUC